CGGAACAGGAACCCAGCCCCCGAAACUCUCGCCCUUAUAGUCGACAUCCACAUAUUUUCCUUCUCUCCCGAUCUCCCUCGAGCCGUCACAGAGGCUGAGCUAGGGGUAGCUCGCCGUGCGGCCGGGAGCAAAGCAGUGCGGCGGCGGAAGAGUGGAUCCGCCUCAGCCGACGCACCACCAGCACUGCAUCCCCGACCUGUGUGGCGAGGCGACACUGCCCCGAUGCCCGAGCAGACGUUCCGUGAGAGAUGGUGAAAGAUUGGGGCUGCGCUACUCCUAUGUUGUUUGGGCGUGCUAUUGCUAUGUUUUGGUCCAAAUUUUUGGUACUCAGUUUUGUGGAGGAGAUUAAGCUUUCUGUUGGCUGAAGUUUUGUACAGGGACAGGUCUAUGGCUCAUGAUGCGUUCUGAAGAUAGGAGCUGAGCGAACAGAUCAGACGGGUCAAGAGUAAGCCAAGUUUUAGGAUGCAAUAGUUGAUUUGGAACCUACCAGUGUGGCCUCCAGAUCUGUCAACUGACAAGAAGUAUAUAGUACCGAAUUAUUCAGACUUUUAUGUAUCCUACGGUCUCGCAACACAUACACAUGUGACGUUUUCUUAGGCAUGCUUGCUGAAAUAUCAUUCCAUCUAUUUUUGAGCUUAUUUUGCAUUUAGAUACACUACCCACUAUUUUAAUAUGUAAAAUCAGUUAGCAUACACCGUGCAGAACAAGAACACUGAGAUAUAUGUAUCUACUAGAUUUACUACUUUGGUUUGGUUGCAACUGAGACUAAAUUUGGAUCGCUAGCUAGAACAAACAACAUAUUUUAUGCAAUUUUUCUGCUGUUAUAGGAUAUGAGAAGGCCUAUACCAUUUAGUCCAGUUCAGAAUAGUCAGUAUGGUUGCAGCAUGGUGAAUUUCAUACCACUCUACAACUUGAUAAUUGCCAAUUAUCACUGAGUAUGUCCCAACCCUUCAAUUUUUGCUUGCCUCAUUUGUCACAUGUAACUGUCUGUAGAUGAACUAUCAAAUAUGAAAACUUGGAUCUUGAUGGCAUUGUUGGUGUUGCAAAAACUUAAAUGGUAAUCCUUUGUUUGCUCGGUUGAUAAAAUUUGUGGUAUCUUCAUGAGUGAGUUCUUGAAUUGGCAGCAGAUAAUAAUUACUAUAGGGUCAUAUAUCAAAUUAAAAUAUUAACUUUAGAAGUUCAACACAGUUUUGCAGAAAAAGGUGAAGUGAAUAGGCGGCAUGUCUUUCCACGAUUUCAUUUUAUUGUUGCUAGAACAUCACUGUAGUCUAUGCCGUUCUGAUAAGAUGAAGUUGCAUUGGCACUGAAAACAUCAAUUGACCUGUAAGAUGUCCAAAAUCAUGGGAGGGGUAUGACAUGUUUUGAAAUAUUGUUGGAUAUACGGAGAUUGGUCAGAGAAUCUCCAAAUUAAUGUAUGUUUCCUGGUUUAGAUUAUUUUACAAGAUCCUAACAUAGUCAUUUACCCUUUUGUUACCUAGAAUUGUUUUUAUUUCUUGCAGACACUAUGCUUGUAUUCUUCUGGGUUUUGGGCAAGGUGAAUGAGCUACAUUGUUGUAGUUAUCUCCUAUUUAGGUCCUUCUAUUCCCAUAGGAAAUCUGAAUACUUACCAUUUCCAAAAUACAAGGAUGAUUACGAGGUGACCAGAGGAAUCAACCGUAACCAGUGGUUCAAUUACAAUCAUUAUCGGUUUUUUACUUUCUCUCAAUAGCACAGUCUUGACAUGACAUCGUGAUACUGCACACUUGAUAUACCUACCAGGGUGCUAUUCAGACAUUCUGUAUGAGACAGAAGAUGGAUGAGGCCGCGGCAUGGGAUAGAUCGACGACGACCAAACUGAAAGCGGUGGUAGCGGAGGUGAUCCCCGGUGUUGUUUGGGUGAAGUGGUGGCCAUCGAGUCCCACAACGCACCCCCAGCCUUAAAUCGUAAUCUUUCUUCCCUCUUUUCAUCUGACUAUUGCAGUAUAAAUUAGAAAACUUAGAUUCCUUACUUGUUACUUGAUCAAGGAUUCAGGUUGCUUGUAGAUUUCCUGUUUAGUCAUGCUCGAAACUCAUGUCUGCUUUGCUUUGUUAGUGGUCAGUCGUGGAUUUCAUAACCACUUAUGUGUUCUGUACUUACUUUCUUCAGCCAUAAAAGUUGAAUCAGUUAUGUAUGAACUAGCUAAGUGCCCACGCGUUGUGGCAAUUCUCUCAUUUUUUCUUUUCCUCUUUAAGUUUCGCUUUCAACUACAUCUAUAAAAAAAUUAUGUAAUAAAAUAUUAAUCUGGCAUAUAUAUGGGUGUUAAAAGAAGGGCGUAUUUGUUUUCUCUUUCACUCCUCAUGGGCUUCGUCUCUGCCUCUAUGACUACUAUGUUAAGUAACUUCACAUGUUUCAAACUUUUGAUCCAGAUUGUGGCACUAUGCAUCGGCCUGGCACUAUGUUUAGUAACCAAACAAUCACUUAAGUAUUACGUAUUGCUCCCCUAUUUUAUUUUGGACCCUUACAGCGUGCAAACAUGCCAAUUUAAGACCCAAGCUACUUUUGAAAAUUGCCAGGGAAGGUUGCAUGUGCGCCCUGCAAGUUCCUUAAUUUUUUUCUGAUCCGCAUCACCGUCCGCGUCUAAGAACUGACAGCCAAGGGAGCGUCGCGGAGAAGAGCCACCUGGGCACGUUUGCCCGAUAUGUUUUAGGUUUAUUUUUAACUAAUUAGUCAUAUAGCUAUUUGGAAAAUGACACUACAACAAUAUGGGAAAUUCAUGGUAUCUCAAUUAAAUCUCACAAUCUCUCAAUAUUGGAUGCACUCGCAUCUUCAACAUGUCGGAUGCCAAGACACCCUGACCUCAAGAAUCUUUGGAUCGAUCGCCAAGUAGGCGAAUCGAUCGGAAUUCUGAUCUGGCAACUUGUCAACUAGAUUCAUGAUUUGUUACUUGAUCAAGGAUUCAUGUUGCUUGUAUAUUUCCUGUUUAGUCAUGUUGUUAUUUGAAUCUUUAAAUAUUGUAUAUGUCCACUAUUCAUAGAUCGUUGAUCUGUAAAGAAAGAAAUGGUUAUAUAGAGAGAUGAAGAUAAGCUCCAAACAACUCAUUUACCUGAGAUGGUGUUUGGAAAGAGUUUUGUGUCUCUUCAACACACUUGGUGCUCUCAGGGCAUGAAAACAAGAGGGAUUGUUGCAUGAUCAUGUUCGUGCUGCAGCGAAAUGGAAAUUUAGAAGGUUCUUUAUACAUGUACCUUGUUACUUAAGCAUGCGGGAACUUUUUCUAAUUAAAAGUAUCAUAUUUGAUUUGCGUUACCAUUAUAUGGAAGCAUAUAUAUUUCUGUUACAUGGUUAGGCUCUGGUCAGAAGUGCAAACAUAGUGACACAAUGGCCAAAGUUAAUCUCUAAUACGAGAAAAUCAGUCGUGCAUUUCUUAUUUUUUGACCUGGAUAUUUACGCUCUCAGCAAAAAAAAAAGGGUUUAUUAAUGGAAAGUUCUGUGGGAAGAACUGUCCUAAAAUGAUUAACUCAUAAUUCCAUUUGUUGUGGAUUUAUUAAUCAAAGAGGCAAGAGAAGGUUUAUGUCAUGUCUUUUCAUACCAUCUUUCCCUGUAUGCCCAUAUACUUUUCUUAAUGAUAGAUUCCACAUUCAGACCAUCAUUUUUAGUUGUGUAUUUUUUCCAGAUACACACGAGUUUAGAUGUAUGUAGAAGUUUGUGUUGGGAGGAUACUGAUGAAGAGAUUGACCUCCUUGGUCUUUCUGAAUAAGAAAAAAUUCUCAAAUUCUCUUCUACGAUGACAUACAUAAACUGAAAAAAUUCAUUGUUGCCCCAUACGUUGAUUUGCACUGACAUUACAUAUUCUGGUUGGUAGUUCAUUCCUUGUGUUGUUGGUGCAUCUACUACUGCUUCCUUAAUCUUGCAAGAGGGUGAUUCUGCUGAAUGAGAACGAGGAGUUGCAGAAGGACUUGGGAUAAGCAAGAUCUCUAAUUUUUUAUUGGUCUGGAAUUGUGGGGUGCAUUUUUUUGUAUUUAGUUGUAGUUCAUUCUGCAGUAAUGCGCAACGGUUAUUUGCAAAAGGUGAUGUGUAGAUACUUUUAAU
Long non-coding RNA from Lolium perenne, 4045 nucleotides. RefSeq lists it as uncharacterized. Lineage: Eukaryota; Viridiplantae; Streptophyta; Magnoliopsida; Poales; Poaceae. The record is from RefSeq and is a predicted model, not a curated record.